GGUUUUAUAGUUUAAUAAAAAUAUUAAAUUGCAAAUUUAAAGAUAAAGCGUUAUUUUAAAACUU
RNAcentral lists this transfer RNA (64 nucleotides) under Odontocheila batesii. RNAcentral describes it as "tRNA-Cys". The record is from RNAcentral. Lineage: Eukaryota; Metazoa; Arthropoda; Insecta; Coleoptera; Carabidae.